This 569-nucleotide small RNA is filed under the name Pongo abelii (Sumatran orangutan). RNAcentral describes it as "processed transcript". Lineage: Eukaryota; Metazoa; Chordata; Mammalia; Primates; Hominidae. The record is from RNAcentral.
AGCAUCUGCUAUAUGUGGCUCCACAUGGGUGACUGGAUUACUUGAAUAGUCUAGACUUCUCUUACAUCAUUAUAGAUUUUUUAGUAAUUUUUGUUCUCAUACCUAGUUGUUCAGGCUUGCCAGGUCGUGGGUAAUGUGACCACAGUGAGAAUGCCUCACCACUGAGAAAGAAUCCGCAGACUCGUACACAAUUACCAUUUAGAAUGGUGAAUACUCUCCCAGGAAUGGAAGAAAUACUUGCCCUCUUCCAGUAAUUUCAGGAACAGCCAGACUAGAGGUUGAAUGUAAUUUUUACAAAAUUUGAUGAAGUCCAGAAAUCUGGAAACAUGAUACAAUCUGCAAAUGAUAAAAAUUUCGACGAUGAAGAUUCUGUGGAUGGUAACAGACCUUCCUCUGCUAGUUCUACAUCAUCCAAGGCUCCACCAAGUUCUCGGAGAAACGUUGGAAUGGGAACUACCCGCCGGCUUGGUUCAUCCACCCUUGGAUCCAAGUCUUCAGCUGCAAAAGAAGGAGCUGGUGCUGUUGAUGAAGAGGAUUUUAUUAAAGCAUUUGAUGAUGUACCUGUAGUA